AUUGAACGCUGGCGGCAGGCCUAACACAUGCAAGUCGAGCGGCAGCGGGAAAGUAGCUUGCUACUUUGGCCGGCGAGCGGCGGACGGGUGAGUAAUGCCUGGGGAUCUGCCCAGUCGAGGGGGAUAACUACUGGAAACGGUAUCUAAAUACCGCAUACGCCCUACGGGGGAAAGCAGGGGACCUUCGGGCCUUGCGCGAUUGGAUGAACCCAGGUGGGAUUAGCUAGUUGGUGAGGUAAUGGCUCACCAAGGCGACGAUCUCUAAACUGGUUUGAGAGAAUGACCAGUCACACUGGAUCUGAGACAC
This 307-nucleotide ribosomal RNA is filed under the name uncultured bacterium. RNAcentral describes it as "bacterial SSU rRNA". It matches the Rfam family "Bacterial small subunit ribosomal RNA", at positions 30 to 327 of the family's 1533-position model. The record is from RNAcentral.